Molecule: ribosomal RNA, 678 nt
Filed under: Escherichia coli
Lineage: Bacteria; Pseudomonadati; Pseudomonadota; Gammaproteobacteria; Enterobacterales; Enterobacteriaceae
Description: partial 23S ribosomal RNA
Rfam family: Bacterial large subunit ribosomal RNA
Source: RNAcentral
CUUAUGCGUUGUUGGGUAGGGGAGCGUUCUGUAAGCCUGUGAAGGUGGCCUGUGAGGGUUGCUGGAGGUAUCAGAAGUGCGAAUGCUGACAUAAGUAACGAUAAAGCGGGUGAAAAGCCCGCUCGCCGGAAGACCAAGGGUUCCUGUCCAACGUUAAUCGGGGCAGGGUGAGUCGACCCCUAAGGCGAGGCCGAAAGGCGUAGUCGAUGGGAAACAGGUUAAUAUUCCUGUACUUGGUGUUACUGCGAAGGGGGGACGGAGAAGGCUAUGUUGGCCGGGCGACGGUUGUCCCGGUUUAAGCGUGUAGGCUGGUUUUCCAGGCAAAUCCGGAAAACCAAGGCUGAGGCGUGAUGACGAAGCACUACGGUGCUGAAGCGACAAAUGCCCUGCUUCCAGGAAAAGCCUCUAAGCAUCAGGUAACAUCAAAUCGUACCCCAAACCGACACAGGUGGUCAGGUAGAGAAUACCAAGGCGCUUGAGAGAACUCGGGUGAAGGAACUAGGCAAAAUGGUGCCGUAACUUCGGGAGAAGGCACGCUGAUAUGUAGGUGAAGCGACUUGCUCGUGGAGCUGAAAUCAGUCGAAGAUACCAGCUGGCUGCAACUGUUUAUUAAAAACACAGCACUGUGCAAACACGAAAGUGGACGUAUACGGUGUGACGCCUGCCCGGUGCCGGAAG